GAUUGGUAUGACGUUGGCUUCGUAUUCGUCGUCGUCGUCCGAAGACACAUUGGUUUUCGCACUCUAACUUUAGUUUAAGUGAAUGGAUCUCUAUGAAAUUUUACCAUAAGGUUCAAUACCACAAAAGGAAGGUUGUGAUUGAUUUUGGUUUAUGGUACAAACAGUUAAGGAAUUAGAGGCCAAAAAGGGGCCAAAAAUAUGCAUUUUUGUAACUUCCAGACAUAACUUGUGUUUUAGUGUAUGGAUCUCUCUGACAUUGUACCACAAGGUUCCAUAUCAUAAAGGGAAUGCUGGGAUUGAUUUUGGGAGUAAUUGCCUCAAAAUUUUAGGAAUAAGGGGCCAAAAAGGGGCCAAAAAACAAGCAUUUUUCUAGUUUCAGGACAAUAACUUGUGUGUAAGUGUCUGGAUCUUUAUGAAAUUGUACUACAAGGUUCCAUAUCACAAAGGGAAGGCAGGGAUUGAUUUUGGGGGUAAUUGCCUCAUAAUUUUAGGAAUUAGGGGCCAAAAAGGGGCAAAAAACAAGCAUUUUUCUAUUUUCAUGACAAUAACUUGUGUGUAAGUGUAUGGAUCUUUUUGAAAUUGUACUACAAGGUUUCAUAUCACAAAGGGAAAGCUAGAAUUGAGUUUGGGGGUAAUUGCCCAAAACAUUUAGGAAUAAGGGCCAAAAAGGGGCCAAAAAUAAGCAUUUUCUAGUUUCCAGACAAUAACUUGUGUUCAAGUGUAUGGAUCUCUCUGAAAUUGUACUGCAAGGUACCAUAUCACAAAGGGAAGGCUGGGAUUGAUUUUGGGGGUAAUUGCCUCAAAAUUUUAGGAAUAAGGGGCCAAAAAGGGGCAAAAAAACAAGCAUUUUUCUAGUUUCCAGACAAUAACUUGUGUGUAAGUGUAUGGAUCUUUAUGAAAUUGUACUACAAGGUUCCAUAUCACAAAGGGAAGGCUGGGAUUGAUUUUGGGGGUAAUUGCCUCAAAAUUUUAGGAAUUAGGGGCCAAAAAAGGGGCAAAAAACAAGCAUUUUUCUAUUUUCAUGACAAUAACUUGUGUGUAAGUGUAUGGAUCUUUUUGAAAUUGUACUACAAGGUUUCAUAUCACAAAGGGAAAGCUGGAAUUGAGUUUGGGGGUAAUUGCCCAAAACAUUUAGGAAUAAGGGGCCAAAAAGGGGCCAAAAAUAAGCAUUUUCUAGUUUCCAGACAAUAACUUGUGUUCAAGUGCAUGGAUCUCUCUGAAAUUGUACUGCAAGGUACCAUAUCACAAAGGGAAGGCUGGGAUUGAUUUUAGGGGUAAUUGCCUCAAAAUUUAAGGAAAAAGGGGCCAAAAAGGGGCAAAAAAACAAGCAUUUUUCUAGUUACCAGACAAUAACUUGUGUGUAAGUGUAUGGAUCUUUAUGAAAUUGUACUACAAGGUUCCAUAUCACAAAGGGAAGACUGGGAUUGAUUUUGGGGGUAAUUGCCUCAUAAUUUUAGGAAUUAGGGGCCAAAAAGGGGCAAAAAACAAGCAUUUUUCUAUUUUCAUGACAAUAACUUGUGUGUAAGUGUAUGGAUCUUUUUGAAAUUGUACUACAAGGUUUCAUAUCACAAAGGGAAAGCUAGAAUUGAGUUUGGGGGUAAUUGCCCAAAACAUUUAGGAAUAAGGGGCCAAAAAGGGGCCAAAAAUAAGCAUUUUCUAGUUUCCAGACAAUAACUUGUGUCUCUCUGAAAUUGUACUGCAAGGUACCAUAUCACAAAGGGAAGGCUGGGAUUGAUUUUGGGGGUAAUUGCCUCAAAAUUUUAGGAAUAAGGGGCCAAAAAGGGGCAAAAAAAUAAGCAUUUUUCUAGUUUCCAGACAAUAACUUGUGUGUAAGUGUAUGGAUCUUUAUGAAAUUGUACUACAAGGUUCCAUGUCACAAAGGGAAAGCUGGGUUUGAGUUUUGGGGUAAUUGCCUUAUACAGUUAAGAAUUUGGGGCCAAAAAGGGGCCAACAAACAAGCAUUUUUCUAGUUUCCAGACAAUAACUUGUGUUUAAGUGUAUGGAUCUCUCUGAAAUUGUACUGCAAGGUUCAAUACCACAAAAGGAAGGUUGGGAUUGAUUUUGGGGUUUAUGGUACCAACAGUUAAGGAAUUAGAGGCCAAAAAGGGGCCAAAAAUAUGCAUUUUUGUAACUUCCAGACAUAACUUGUGUUUUAGUGUAUGUAUCUCUCUGACAUUGUACCACAAGGUUCCAUAUCAAAAAGGGAAGGCUGGGAUUGAUUUUGGGGGUAAUUGCCUCAAAAUUUUAGGAAUUAGAGGCCAAAAAAGGGGCAAAAAACAAGCAUUUUUCUAUUUUCAUGACAAUAACUUGUGUGUAAGUGUAUGGAUCUUUUUGAAAUUGUACUACAAGGUUUCAUAUCACAAAGGGAAAGCUGGAAUUGAGUUUGGGGGUAAUUGCCCAAAACGUUUAGGAAAAAGGGGCCAAAAAGGGGCCAAAAAUAAGCAUUUUCUAGUUUCCAGACAAUAACUUGUGUUCAAGUGUAUGGAUCUCUCUGAAAUUGUACUGCAAGGUUCCAUAUCACAAAGGGAAGGCUGGGAUUGAUUUUGGGGGUAAUUGCCUCAAAAUUUUAGGAAUUAGGGGCCAAAAAAGGGGCAAAAAACAAGCAUUUUUCUAUUUUCAUGACAAUAACUUGUGUGUAAGUGUAUGGAUCUUUUUGAAAUUAUACUACAAGGUUUCAUAUCACAAAAGGAAAGCUGGAAUUGAGUUUGGGGGUAAUUGCCCAAAACGUUUAGGAAUAAGGGGCCAAAAAUAAGCAUUUUCUAGUUUCCAGACAAUAACUUGUGUUCAAGUGUAUGGAUCUCUCUGAAAUUGUACUGCAAGGUACCAUAUCACAAAGGGAAGGCUGGGAUUGAUUUUGGGGGUAAUUGCCUCAAAAUUUUAGGAAUAAGGGGCCAAAAAGGGGCAAAAAAACAAGCAUUUUUCUAGUUUCCAGACAAUAACUUGUGUGUAAGUGUAUGGAUCUUUAUGAAAUUGUACUACAAGGUUCCAUGUCACAAAGGGAAAGCUGGGUUUGAGUUUGGGGGUAAUUGCCUUAUACAGUUAGGAAUUUGGGGCCAAAAAGGGGCCAACAAACAAGCAUUUUUUUAGUUUCCAGACAAUAACUUGUGUUUAAGUGUAUGGAUCUCUCUGAAAUUUUACCAUAAGGUUCAAUACCACAAAUGGAAGGUUGGGAUUGAUUUUGGGGUUUAUGGUACCAACAGUUAAGGAAUUAGAGGCCAAAAAGGGGCCAAAAAUAUGCAUUUUUGUAACUUCCAGACAUAACUUGUGUUUUAGUGUAUGUAUCUCUCUGACAUUGUACCACAAGGUUCCAUAUCACAAAGGGAAGGCUGGGAUUGAUUUUGGGGGUAAUUGCCUCAAAAUUUUAGGAACUAGGGGCAAAAAACAAGCAUUUUUCUAUUUUCAUGACAAUAACUUGUGUGUAAGUGUAUGGAUCUUUUUGAAAUUGUACUACAAGGUUUCAUAUCACAAAGGGAAAGCUGGAAUUGAGUUUGGGGGUAAUUGCCCAAAACGUUUAGGAAUAAGGGGCCAAAAAGGGGCCAAAAAUAAGCAUUUUCUAGUUUCCAGACAAUAACUUGUGUUCAAGUGUAUGGAUCUCUCUGAAAUUGUACUGCAAGGUACCAUACCACAAAGGGAAGGCUGUGAUUGAUUUUGGGGGUAAUUGCCUCAAAAUUUAGGAAUUAGGGGCAAAAAAGGGGCAAAAAACAAGCAUUUUUCUAAUAUCAGGACAAUAACUUGUGUGUAAGUGUAUGGAUCUUUAUGAAAUUGUACUACAAGGUUCCAUAUUACAAAGGGAAAGCUGGGUUUGAGUUUGGGGGUAAUUACCCUAAACGUUUAGGAAUUUGGGGCCAAAAAAGGGCCUUAAAACAAGCAUUUUUCUAGUUUCCAGACAAUAACUUGUGUUCAAGUGUAUGGAUCUCUCUGAAAUUGUACUGCAAGGUACCAUACCACAAAGGGAAGGCUGGGAUUGAGUUUGCGGGUGAUGAAUCAUAAGGGGGUUCAAAAAAUUUGGGAGAGGGAUUUUUUUUUCCUUUUUUUCCUUUUUUUUUCUUUAAAAUUUUCCAUUUUAAAUUGGUUAUUUCUGAUUUAUAUAUAAAAGCAAAUAAUAAUGAUAUGGUUUGAAUAGGUAAAUUAAAAUUUUUUAAGUUCUUAGACCACAUUCAUUCUGUGUCAGAAACCUAUGCUGUGUCAAAUAUUUAAUCACAAUCCAAAUUCAGUGCUGUAUCAAGCUUGAAUGUUGUGUACAUACUUGCCCUAACUGUUCAGGGUUCGACCUCUGCGGUCGUAUCAAGCUGCGCCUAGCGGAGCAUUUUA
This is a long non-coding RNA of Mytilus californianus (California mussel), 4311 nucleotides long. RefSeq lists it as uncharacterized. The record is from RefSeq and is a predicted model, not a curated record. NCBI's taxonomy places the organism in Eukaryota, Metazoa, Mollusca, Bivalvia, Mytilida, Mytilidae. The transcript is spliced from 6 exons.